AACGGCUUGUUGGAACUGGAAAUAUUAGAUAAAGAAAGAGUAGAGAAUGAACUAAAAAGUUGCUUGAGAGAGUGUAUUGAGCUAAGGCAGUUGAAUUCUCGACUUACCCAAGAGCUAAAUGAUUUAAAUGAGAGAUUAGAAGCUGAUGCAGUGAAUCAGCAAACAAUAAUUGAGCUUAAGAGAAAGAAUUGUGAAUUAGAAUGUGCUAAGUUGAAAGCUGAGACGGAGGCAGAGAUUUAUAAGAGGAG
RNAcentral lists this unclassified non-coding RNA (248 nucleotides) under Hevea brasiliensis (rubber tree). Lineage: Eukaryota; Viridiplantae; Streptophyta; Magnoliopsida; Malpighiales; Euphorbiaceae. The record is from RNAcentral.